Molecule: ribosomal RNA, 439 nt
Filed under: uncultured bacterium
Lineage: Bacteria
Description: partial 16S ribosomal RNA
Rfam family: Bacterial small subunit ribosomal RNA
Source: RNAcentral
CCUACGGGUGGCAGCAGUGGGGGAUCUUUCACAAUGGAGGAAACUCUGAUGCAGCGACGCCGCGUGCAGGAAGACGGUCUUCGGAUUGUAAACCUCUGUCUUUGGCGAAGAAAAUGACGGUACCUUAAGAGGAAGCUUCGGCUAACUACGUGCCAGCAGCCGCGGUAAUACGUAGGGAGCGAGCGUUGUCCGGAAUUACUGGGUGUAAAGGGUGCGUAGGCGGGCGUGAUAAGUGACUGUUAAAUCGACCGGCAAAACUUGUAGCUGCGAUCAAAACUGCUUAUCGUGAGAGAAUUAGAGGCAAGCGGAAUUCCUAGUGUAGGGGUGAAAUGCGUAGAUAUUAGGAGGAACACCAGUGGCGAAGGCAGGCUGCUGGGCUGGAACUGACGCUGAGGCACGAAAGCGUGGGGAGCAAACAGGAUUAGAUACCCUUGUAGUC